This 337-nucleotide unclassified non-coding RNA is filed under the name soil metagenome. Its description in RNAcentral is "partial contains 5.8S ribosomal RNA, internal transcribed spacer 2, and large subunit ribosomal RNA". The stretch from base 2 to 118 matches the Rfam family "5.8S ribosomal RNA", at positions 38 to 154 of the family's 154-position model. The record is from RNAcentral.
GGAAGAACGUAGCGAAAUGCGAUAACUAAUGUGAAUUGCAGAAUUCAGUGAAUCAUCGAGUCUUUGAACGCACAUUGCGCCCCCUGGUAUUCCGGGGGGCAUGCCUGUCCGAGCGUCAUUGCUGCCCUCAAGCACGGCUUGUGUGUUGGGCUCCGUCCCCCCGGGGACGGGCCCGAAAGGCAGCGGCGGCACCGAGUCCGGUCCUCGAGCGUAUGGGGCUUUGUCACCCGCUCUGUAGGCCCGGCCGGCGCCAGCCGACAACCCAUCAUCCUUUUCAGGUUGACCUCGGAUCAGGUAGGGAUACCCGCUGAACUUAAGCAUAUCAAUAAGCGGAGGA